GUGAGGAAUAUUGGUCAAUGGGCGAGAGCCUGAACCAGCCAAGUAGCGUGCAGGAUGACGGCCCUAUGGGUUGUAAACUGCUUUUAUGCGGGGAUAAAGUUCACUACGUGUAGUGUUUUGUAGGUACCGCAUGAAUAAGGACCGGCUAAUUCCGUGCCAGCAGCCGCGGUAAUACGGAAGGUCCGGGCGUUAUCCGGAUUUAUUGGGUUUAAAGGGAGCGCAGGCCGGAGGUCAAGCGUGACGUGAAAUGUAGCCGCUCAACGGCUGAACUGCGUCGCGAACUGGCUUUCUUGAGUGAGUUCGAUGUGGGCGGAAUUCGUGGUGUAGCGGUGAAAUGCUUAGAUAUCACGAAGAACUCCGAUUGCGAAGGCAGCCCACAAGGCCUUUACUGACGCUAAAGCUCGAAGGUGCGGGUAUCGAACAGG
Molecule: ribosomal RNA, 425 nt
Filed under: uncultured rumen bacterium
Lineage: Bacteria
Description: bacterial SSU rRNA
Rfam family: Bacterial small subunit ribosomal RNA
Source: RNAcentral